UACGAAGGGUGCAAGCGUUACUCGGAAUUACUGGGCGUAAAGCGUGCGUAGGUGGUCUGUUAAGUCUGAUGUGAAAGCCCUGGGCUCAACCUGGGAAUUGCAUUGGAUACUGGCAGGCUAGAGUGCGGUAGAGGAUGGCGGAAUUCCCGGUGUAGCAGUGAAAUGCGUAGAGAUCGGGAGGAACAUCUGUGGCGAAGGCGACUUCCUGGCCUGUUCUUGACGCUGAGGCGCGAAAGCUAGGGGAGCAAACGGG
RNAcentral lists this ribosomal RNA (253 nucleotides) under uncultured bacterium. Its description in RNAcentral is "partial 16S ribosomal RNA". It matches the Rfam family "Bacterial small subunit ribosomal RNA", at positions 524 to 776 of the family's 1533-position model. The record is from RNAcentral.